RNAcentral lists this long non-coding RNA (1374 nucleotides) under Sorghum bicolor (sorghum). Its description in RNAcentral is "long non-coding RNA (SBIC_LNC003988)". The record is from RNAcentral. Lineage: Eukaryota; Viridiplantae; Streptophyta; Magnoliopsida; Poales; Poaceae.
CGUCUUGUUCAUUUAGCUCAUAAGCCAUGACAGAAAAUAUUGAUGACUGAUUUGUUAUGAGAGAAAAUCAUUGUUGGAUGGCUGAUAAAUUCGGCUGAUAAGCUCAAGCGAAUAGGCUAACCCAAGAAGUUUUUUUCAGUGGCUAAGUUUGUACUAUUUGCAUACUGGUGGGAAUUUUGUUCACUUGAAGUCACAGUCACUGAUUGGUUUACCAAGAUUUCUAUUCUCGAUCAGCGCUUUCCAAAAUUGCCACUCUCUAUCAGCACGACUCGCUUUCCAAAUCCAACGGUUCAUCGAGUUUGAAAGGAUAUCUUCGUCGAUGGCCUGAUGCUCCAAGUUUGCGCAUUAAGACUGUCUCCAACAGCUCAUGCAAAGGGAGACCUAAACCUAAAAUAGGUAGUGCACAGUGUAAAUAGGUGAUGAAAACUGGCUCUAACAGACAGGGACGAAGCCAGAAAAAAAAUUUAGGAGGGGCUGAACAAAAGUUAUAUAUCAACUUAGCUCUACUAUUACUCUUCGUAAAUAUAGAUUAACGAUGAAAUUCACAAAAUAUAUCUAAAAAAUAAAGUGUUCAGUCCACCCUACCUUAUAAAUUUGUGUCUAAAAUUAGAAGAAUAGCACUAAAAAUUCCACUGGGCCAGCAGCGGUAGGAGGGGCUGGAGCCCCCCUAGCCCCCCUGCUGGCUUCGUCGCUGCCAACAGAAGACUCAAAGCAAGUAGUCAUUUUGGGUGGAGGCCAACAACAACGCAAAUUUGCAUCGUCUUUCUGCAAGACGCAAAGUCUUCGACGCCCGUAGUGGUGGGGUCGAGGUGGAGCAGUGGUGGGUGCAAGGUGGGAACACAGCGGGAGCUCACCGGUGACAGAGCCUGAAGACGACGGUGAGGCGGGACUGACGACAGCGAGGCAGCAAGGGAGGCGCCGCCGCCAUGGGAGCACCUCCGGAGCCGCACGGCUUGGCUGCCUCGUCGGGAAGGAAGGAGGCCACGCAGGGGAGGAAGCUCGCCGACGAGGAGGGGGGGCAACAAAGACGGCGAGGUGGGGAGGGAGGCGAGCGGCGCCAUGGGAGCACCUCUGGAGCCGCCGGCUUGGCUGCCUCCCCGGAUCUGGGCUGGGAGGAAACGCUUGAGGGAGGGAGGGAGGGGAGGGAGGGAAGAAGAGAGGAGGCCGUGCAGGGGAGGGCGCUCACCGGCAAGGGAGCCGACGACGACGGUGAUGUGGGCCCAAGACAACAACGGGGGCGAGACGGAGUUCACCAGGAAGCUGGGGUCGUUGUUGGAGAAGCACGGUUUUAGGUCUGUGACCCAUCUGGUGCAGGGAACCCAAAUCGUAGAAUGGGUCACCGAUUUAGCUAUCGGUUGUUGGAGACAGCCUUAU